This 29-nucleotide non-coding RNA is filed under the name Rattus norvegicus (Norway rat). The record is from RNAcentral. Lineage: Eukaryota; Metazoa; Chordata; Mammalia; Rodentia; Muridae.
UUGAAAGCACACCUCUUCUACGUGUCUGU